UCCUCUUUAGCUCAGUCGGUAGAGCACUCGGCUGUUAACCGAGUUGUCGUUGGUUCGAGUCCAACAAGGGGAGCCA
This 76-nucleotide transfer RNA is filed under the name Bacteroides sp. Its description in RNAcentral is "tRNA-Asn". It matches the Rfam family "tRNA". Rfam says of the family: Transfer RNA (tRNA) molecules are approximately 80 nucleotides in length. Their secondary structure includes four short double-helical elements and three loops (D, anti-codon, and T loops). Lineage: Bacteria; Pseudomonadati; Bacteroidota; Bacteroidia; Bacteroidales; Bacteroidaceae. The record is from RNAcentral. RNAcentral also lists the same sequence under 3 other names.